RNAcentral lists this ribosomal RNA (659 nucleotides) under uncultured bacterium. Its description in RNAcentral is "bacterial SSU rRNA". It matches the Rfam family "Bacterial small subunit ribosomal RNA", at positions 94 to 788 of the family's 1533-position model. The record is from RNAcentral.
AGUGGCGGACGGGUGAGUAACGCGUGAGAAUCUGCCUUGGGGUCGGGGACAACCACUGGAAACGGUGGCUAAUACCGGAUAAGCCGAUUGGUGAAAGAUUUAUUGCCCGAAGAGGAGCUCGCGUCUGAUUAGCUAGUUGGUGAGGUAAGAGCUCACCAAGGAGCGAUCAGUAGCUGGUCUGAGAGGACGAUCAGCCACACUGGGACUGAGACACGGCCCAGACUCCUACGGGAGGCAGCAGUGGGGAAUUUUCCGCAAUGGGCGAAAGCCUGACGGAGCAAGACCGCGUGAGGGAGGAAGGCUCUUGGGUUGUAAACCUCUUUUCUCAGGGAAGAAGCUCUGACGGUACCUGAGGAAUCAGCCUCGGCUAACUCCGUGCCAGCAGCCGCGGUAAUACGGAGGAGGCAAGCGUUAUCCGGAAUUAUUGGGCGUAAAGCGUCCGCAGGUGGCGAUUCAAGUCUGCUGUCAAAGCACGGGGCUUAACUCCGUAAAGGCAGUGGAAACUGAAUAGCUAGAGUGCCGUAGGGGUAGAGGGAAUUCCCGGUGUAGCGGUGAAAUGCGUAGAGAUCGGGAAGAACAUCGGUGGCGAAAGCGCUCUACUGGACGGCAACUGACACUCAGGGACGAAAGCUAGGGGAGCGAAUGGGAUUAGAUACCCC